AUUUAUAUAGUAUAAAAGUAUAUAUGACUUCCAAUCAUAAGGCCUAAUUAUCAAUUAGUAUAAAUA
This 66-nucleotide transfer RNA is filed under the name Tabanus formosiensis. RNAcentral's name for it is "tRNA-Gly". It matches the Rfam family "tRNA". Rfam says of the family: Transfer RNA (tRNA) molecules are approximately 80 nucleotides in length. Lineage: Eukaryota; Metazoa; Arthropoda; Insecta; Diptera; Tabanidae. The record is from RNAcentral.